CGGUGUUUAACUGGCGUGAUGUGGGACGUCCUACCGGUGGGCUUAGCCUCGCGAGGGGCGGCCCAACUAAUAUCCCGUCGCGGUGCUCUUUACUGAGUGUCGAGUCGGGCCGGUACGUUUACUUUGAACAAAUUAGAGUGCUUAAAGCAGGCUAUCCUCGCCUGAAUACUGCGUGCAUGGAAUAAUGGAAUAGGACCUCGGUUCUAUUUUGUUGGUUUUCGGAACCCCGAGGUAAUGAUUAAUAGGGACAGAUGGGGGCAUUCGUAUUGCGACGUGAGAGGUGAAAUUCUUGGAUCCUCGCAAGACGGACAGAAGCGAAAGCAUUUGCCAAAAAUGUUUUCAUUAAUCAAGAACGAAAGUUGAGGUUCGAAGGCGAUCAGAUACCGCCCUAGUUCUAACCAUAAACGAUGCCAGCUAGCGAUCCGCCGAAGUUCUUCCGAUGACUCGGCGGGCAGCUUCCGGGAAACCAAAGCUUUUGGGUUCCGGGGGAAGUAUGGUUGCAAAGCUGAAACUUAAAGGAAUUGACGGAAGGGCACCACCAGGAGUGGAGCCUGCGGCUUAAUUUGACUCAACACGGGAAACCUCACCAGGCCCAGACACCGGAAGGAUUGACAGAUUGAUAGCUCUUUCUUGAUUCGGUGGGUGGUGGUGCAUGGCCGUUCUUAGUUGGUGGAGCGAUUUGUCUGGUUAAUUCCGAUAACGAACGAGACUCUAGCCUGCUAAAUAGGCGUACCUUAUGGUAUCGCGAAGGCCCCCGGCUUCGGCCGGUGGGUUUUUACUACCAACGUACAAACAAAUCUUCUAGAGGGACAGGCGG
This 817-nucleotide ribosomal RNA is filed under the name uncultured eukaryote. RNAcentral describes it as "SSU rRNA". It matches the Rfam family "Eukaryotic small subunit ribosomal RNA", at positions 629 to 1426 of the family's 1831-position model. The record is from RNAcentral.